This 253-nucleotide ribosomal RNA is filed under the name uncultured bacterium. RNAcentral describes it as "partial 16S ribosomal RNA". It matches the Rfam family "Bacterial small subunit ribosomal RNA", at positions 524 to 776 of the family's 1533-position model. The record is from RNAcentral.
UACAGAGGGUGCGAGCGUUAAUCGGAUUUACUGGGCGUAAAGGGCGCGUAGGCGGUAAGAUGAGUGUGAUGUGAAAGCCCCGGGCUUAACCUGGGAAGGGCAUCGCAAACUAUCUAACUGGAGUAGAUGAGAGGGUGGCGGAAUUUCCGGUGUAGCGGUGAAAUGCGUAGAGAUCGGAAGGAACGUCAAUGGCGAAGGCAGCCACCUGGCAUCAUACUGACGCUGAGGCGCGAGAGCGUGGGGAGCGAACAGG